Erinaceus europaeus (western European hedgehog) is the source of this 581-nucleotide long non-coding RNA. RefSeq lists it as uncharacterized. Lineage: Eukaryota; Metazoa; Chordata; Mammalia; Eulipotyphla; Erinaceidae. The transcript is spliced from 4 exons. The record is from RefSeq and is a predicted model, not a curated record.
CAUGAAUGGAUUCCAUUUCAAGAGCACAACUAAACACGGGCAUUCAGAUUCUGUGGAGGUGGGGACCAGGAGGAGCUUGAACCUGGGUCCUUGCGAGCUCAACCAAGACUACAUUUUAUCUUCAAAAUGUGUGACACAUGAUGGGAGUACCUGUCUCACUCCAUCCUCAGACCUGUGCUCCCCCCACCGCCACACUCUUGGUAACUUCAGAUCUGCAUAGACAAAAAGACACCAAGUUGCAGAUGCUACCAUCAUGCCAACCUGACUUCCCUGGGCAGACAACUUCAUCAAUGUGUCCUGUAACCCCACCUGCCCAGAGAUCUACCCAACUGGGAAAAGACAGAAACAGGUUGGGGGAAUGGAUCCACGUGUCAAUGCCUAUGUCCAGUGGAGACCUUCCACCUUCUGCAUCCCGUAAAGAUCUUUGGUCCAUAAGUCCAGAAGGGUAAAGAAUAGGGAAGCUUCCAAUGGAGGGGAUGAGAUGCAGAACUCUGGUGGUGGGAACUGUAUGGAAGCGUACCCCUCUUAUCCCACAAUGAUUUAAUAAUGAUUGAUCUUAUCAAUCAUUAUUAAAUCACUAA